GACGAACGCUGGCGGCGUGCUUAACACAUGCAAGUCGAACGAAGAGCGAUGGAAGCUUGCUUCUAUCAAUCUUAGUGGCGAACGGGUGAGUAACGCGUAAUCAACCUGCCCUUCAGAGGGGGACAGCAGUUGGAAACGACUGCUAAUACCGCAUACGAUCUAACCUCGGCAUCGAGGAUAGAUGAAAGGUGGCCUCUACAUGUAAGCUAUCACUGAAGGAGGGGAUUGCGUCUGAUUAGCUAGUUGGAGGGGUAACGGCCCACCAAGGCGAUGAUCAGUAGCAGGUCUGCGAGGAGGAACGGCCACAUUGGGACUGAGACACGGCCCAGACUCCUACGGGAGGCAGCAGUGGGGAAGCUUCCGAAAUGGACGAAAGUCUGACGGAGCAACGCCGCGUGAGUGAUGACGGCCGUCGGGUUGGAAAGCUCUGUUAAUCGGGACGAAAGGCCUUCUUGCGAAUAGUUAGAAGGAUUGACGGUACCGGAAUAGAAAGCCACGGCUAACUACGUG
This 510-nucleotide ribosomal RNA is filed under the name uncultured bacterium. RNAcentral describes it as "partial 16S ribosomal RNA". It matches the Rfam family "Bacterial small subunit ribosomal RNA", at positions 28 to 507 of the family's 1533-position model. The record is from RNAcentral.